GCUUGCGCACGAAAAUGACAAACGGUAUUCUUUAUACGAGUUCAUGUAUGAAAAAUUCGCUAUUUGUUGUAUUUAUGAUAAAAUUUCGGCACGAUUUUACAGAGUACAAAUCCUCCGAAAAGCCUAUGAAAACGUUACAUUUUUCUCUGUUGGUGCUGUUCUUGCUUCAUUAUGAAUUCAUUUUUACUCCCAUGAGAGUUCCGUGGAAUUUUCAUGGAAUUUGUGCUUUCGAGUUGUUUGUGCUGAAACGCAUUC
This is a non-coding RNA of Paramuricea clavata, 255 nucleotides long. Lineage: Eukaryota; Metazoa; Cnidaria; Anthozoa; Malacalcyonacea; Plexauridae. The record is from the annotation of a GenBank genome assembly.